Molecule: ribosomal RNA, 445 nt
Filed under: uncultured bacterium
Lineage: Bacteria
Description: partial 16S ribosomal RNA
Rfam family: Bacterial small subunit ribosomal RNA
Source: RNAcentral
GUGAGGAAUAUUGGUCAAUGGGCGUAAGCCUGAACCAGCCAAGUAGCGUGAGGGAUGACGGCCCUAUGGGUUGUAAACCUCUUUUAUAUGGGGAUAAAGUGUGUGACGUGUCAUGCAUUGCAGGUACCAUAGGAAUAAGGACCGGCUAAUUCCGUGCCAGCAGCCGCGGUAAUACGGAAGGUCCAGGCGUUAUCCGGAUUUAUUGGGUUUAAAGGGAGCGUAGGCCGCUUUUUAAGCGUGUUGUGAAAUGUUGGGGCUCAACCCCAUCACUGCAGCGCGAACUGGAAGGCUUGAGAGUGCGCAACGCAGGUGGAAUUUGUGGUGUAGCGGUGAAAUGCUUAGAUAUCACGAAGAACUCCGAUUGCGAAGGCAACUUGCGGGAGCACGACUGACGCUGAAGCUCGAAAGUGCGGGUAUCGAACAGGAUUAGAAACCCGAGUAGUCC